Molecule: ribosomal RNA, 1420 nt
Filed under: Propionibacteriaceae bacterium WN042
Lineage: Bacteria; Bacillati; Actinomycetota; Actinomycetes; Propionibacteriales; Propionibacteriaceae
Description: 16S ribosomal RNA
Rfam family: Bacterial small subunit ribosomal RNA
Source: RNAcentral
UUAACACAUGCAAGUCGAACGGUAAGGCCUCUUCGGGGGUACACGAGUGGCGAACGGGUGAGUAACACGUGAGUAACCUGCCCUUGACUUUGGGAUAACAUCUGGAAACAGGUGCUAAUACCGGAUAUGAGCUUGUCCUGCAUGGGAUGGGUUGGAAAGCUCCGGCGGUCAUGGAUGGACUCGCGGCCUAUCAGCUUGUUGGUGAGGUAAUGGCUCACCAAGGCUUCGACGGGUAGCCGGCCUGAGAGGGCGACCGGCCACAUUGGGACUGAGAUACGGCCCAAACUCCUACGGGAGGCAGCAGUGGGGAAUAUUGCACAAUGGGCGGAAGUGAUGCAGCAACGCCGCGUGCGGGAUGACGGCCUUCGGGUUGUAAACCGCUUUCAGCAGGGACGAAGCGUGAGUGACGGUACCUGCAGAAGAAGCACCGGCUAACUACGUGCCAGCAGCCGCGGUGAUACGUAGGGUGCGAGCCGUUGUCCGGAUUUAUUUGGGGCGUAAAGACCUUGUUAGGCCGGUUUGUCGCCGUCGGGAGUAAAAAACUCAGGGCUUAACCCUGAGCCUUGCUUCCGAUACGNCAGACUUGAGGAAGGUAAGGGAGAUUGGAUUCCUGUCGAGCCGUGGAUGCCGUAGAUAUUCCAGAGAACACCAUUGCCAGGCGUUCUCUGACUUUCCUGAACGCUAAAGCGAAAGCUGGGGAGCAAACAGCUAGAUACCCUGGUAGUCCACGCGUAAACGGUGGGUACUAGGUGUGGGGACAUUCCACGUUCUCCGUGCCGCCAGCUAACGCGUGAAGUACCCCGCCUGGGAGUACGGCGCAAGGCUAAGACUGAAAGGAAUUGACGGGCCCCGCACAAGCGGCGGAGCAUGCGGAUUAAUUCGAUGCAACGCGAAGAACCUUACCUGGGUUUGACAUAUGCCGGAAACAUCCAGAGAUGGAUGCCCCUUUUUGGUCGGUUUACAGGUGGUGCAUGGCUGUCGUCAGCUCGUGUCGUGAGAUGUUGGGUUAAGUCCCGCAACGAGCGCAACCCUCGUCCUAUGUUGCCAGCGGGUAAUGCCGGGGACUCAUAGGAGACCGCCGGGGUCAACUCGGAGGAAGGUGGGGAUGACGUCAAGUCAUCAUGCCCCUUAUGUCCAGGGCUUCACGCAUGCUACAAUGGCCGGUACAAAGAGCUGCGAGCCUGUAAGGGUGAGCGAAUCUCAAAAAGCCGGUCUCAGUUCGGAUUGGGGUCUGCAACUCGACCCCAUGAAGUCGGAGUCGCUAGUAAUCGCAGAUCAGCAACGCUGCGGUGAAUACGUUCCCGGGGCUUGUACACACCGCCCGUCAAGUCAUGAAAGUCGUAACACCCGAACCGUGCCUAACCCUUGUGGAGGGAGCCGUCGAAGGUGGGACCGGUAAUUAGGACUAAGUCGUAACAAG